CUUCUUGGCUGUUUUAGCCAAUCCAAGUUUUCUUUUCCAUGGGAGUGGCCUGUUUCUGCAUUUGUUUCAGUACGUCCCAUGUGACUUAUUUUUGUUCCAGGUCUUCCUGUGCUACCAUAAUCUGGUCUCAUUGGACUCUUUCCUCUUCCACUGCUGCUUU
This is a long non-coding RNA of Bufo bufo (common toad), 160 nucleotides long. RefSeq lists it as uncharacterized. The record is from RefSeq and is a predicted model, not a curated record. The transcript has 4 exons. Lineage: Eukaryota; Metazoa; Chordata; Amphibia; Anura; Bufonidae.